GACGAACGCUGGCGGCGUGCUUAACACAUGCAAGUCGAACGGAAAGGCCCUGCUUUUGUGGGGUGCUCGAGUGGCGAACGGGUGAGUAACACGUGAGUAACCUGCCCUUGACUUUCGGAUAACUUCACGAAACUGGGGCUCAUACCGGAUAGGAGCUCCUGCUGCAUGGUGGUGGUUGGAAAGUUUCGGCGGUUGGGGAUGGACUCGCGGCUUAUCAGCUUGUUGGUGGGGUAGUGGCUUACCAAGGCUUUGACGGGUAGCCGGCCUGAGAGGGUGACCGGCCACAUUGGGACUGAGAUACGGCGCAGACUCCUACGGGAGGCAGCAGUGGGGAAUAUUGCACAAUGGGCGGAAGCCUGAGGCAGCAACGCCGCGUGCGGGAUGACGGCCUUCGGGUUGUAAACCGCUUUCGCAUGUGACGAAGCGGGAGUGACGGUAAUGGGUAAAGAAGCACCGGCUAACUACGUG
RNAcentral lists this ribosomal RNA (468 nucleotides) under uncultured bacterium. Its description in RNAcentral is "partial 16S ribosomal RNA". It matches the Rfam family "Bacterial small subunit ribosomal RNA", at positions 28 to 507 of the family's 1533-position model. The record is from RNAcentral.